AUAUCAAUAAGCGGAGGAAAAGAAACCAACAGGGAUUGCCCCAGUAACGGCGAGUGAAGCGGCAAUAGCUCAAAUUUGAAAUCUGGCUCUUUCAGGGUCCGAGUUGUAAUUUGCAGAGGGCGCUUUGGCGUCGGCAGCAGCCUAAGUUCCUUGGAACAGGUCAUCAUAGAGGGUGAGAAUCCCGUAUGUGGCUGCUUGUCUUCGCCGUGUAAAGCCCCUUCGAUGAGUCGAGUUGUUUGGGAAUGCAGCUCUAAAUGGGAGGUAAAUUUCUUCUAAAGCUAAAUAUUGGCCAGAGACCGAUAGCGCACAAGUAGAGUGAUCGAAAGAUGAAAAGCACUUUGGAAAGAGAGUCAAAUAGCACGUGAAAUUGUUGAAAGGGAAGCGCUUGCAGCCAGACUUGCCUGUAGUUGCUUAUCCGGACUUUUGUCCGGUGCACUCUUCUGCGGGCAGGCCAGCAUCAGUUUGGGCAGUUGGAUAAAGGUCUCUGUCAUGUACCUCUCUUCGGGGAGGCCUUAUAGGGGAGACGACAUGCAACUAGCCUGGACUGAGGUCCGCGCAUCUGCUAGGAUGCUGGCGUAAUGGCUGUAAGCGG
This 592-nucleotide ribosomal RNA is filed under the name uncultured fungus. RNAcentral's name for it is "eukaryotic LSU rRNA". It matches the Rfam family "Eukaryotic large subunit ribosomal RNA", at positions 40 to 647 of the family's 3401-position model. Lineage: Eukaryota; Fungi. The record is from RNAcentral.